CCUGUCGUCGACAGGUCAUCGGAAUGUGGUCCCUCGGGACUGAACCGGCAA
RNAcentral lists this non-coding RNA (51 nucleotides) under unclassified sequences. RNAcentral's name for it is "eL15-Euryarchaeota ribosomal protein leader". It matches the Rfam family "eL15-Euryarchaeota ribosomal protein leader". The record is from RNAcentral.